RNAcentral lists this long non-coding RNA (1062 nucleotides) under Solanum tuberosum (potato). Its description in RNAcentral is "long non-coding RNA (STUB_LNC004084)". Lineage: Eukaryota; Viridiplantae; Streptophyta; Magnoliopsida; Solanales; Solanaceae. The record is from RNAcentral.
UGUUGCUGCCUCCUUUGUAUGUACAGUCUUGCCUUUGAACUUUUUCCAACUCCUGACUCUCCAUGUGUGAUAUAAGAUUGCUCCACAAGUAGCCGCAAUAGUCUCCUUCUUAAAUUUCUUCCAGUGCGUCAACAUUAUUCUUUUCAGUGUCUGCUUGAUCCCAUUGUUUUGCAACUCUAUUCCUAUCCAUUGUUUCACCUCUUUCCAUAUAGCCUGUGCCCAAUCACACUUAACGAAUAAGUGCAUUGUAGUCUCCAUGACCUUCUUAUCACAAAGGCAGCAAUCAGUGUCCUCCACCUGAAUGUGUAGUUUCAGUUUCCUCUCCUGCGUAAGUAAUCUUCCUUGUACAGCACGUUAUGAAUCUAUGUUUAGGUAGAGCCAUAGAGGUCCAUACUAGCUCAACAGUUCUCAUACGUGAUUGUUGGCCAAUUAGUGCUAAGUAACGGCUAGUGAUGGAAUAUUUUCCAGUUUGUGUGAGCAUGUAUCUUCCUUGGUUAUACCAACCAAGCAUUUGGACCUUGAUUGCAUUUAGCUUCUUCCAAUACCAGCUACAAUCUGCAGGUGUUUUAUGAUUCCAUAUUGUUGAAAAUAGUUAUUUCAACAGAAUUUUACAUCUAUGUCCAUGUAAUAUUAGUCCCACACGUCAAUUCUAUCACACUUUGUUGAGGGGGAAAAACACACACUGUCAAAUUGAUAUACAAGGCUUCUUUUCGCAAUCAAUUAUAUACUUACCAUCUAAUUAUAGAGAAGCUUUAGUUGGAUGGUGAAAUAUCAAACAUCAACAAGUAACACAUCUUUUGGUCUUAUACGUGUAGAAUAGCUUGAUGUUUUUGGCAGGCAUAUUAAUAGUAUUAUCUACAGAACAUGUUAAAACAGGAAAUUUUGCAUACAAGAACAUGAAAAAAAAUAAAAACCUAACAACUUUGUAGACUCGUACACUUAAUUAUUACAUAUAGUGAAAUUAUUAACUAGACAAUGGAGUAGCCACCACAAACAAAGGUAAUUUCCUACGAACAGCGAGCCCAUUGCAUUCAGUCAUCUCCAAAUCCUCCCCUUUUAUCC